AACGGCCGUACCAUGCUGAAUAUACCGGUUCUCGUUAGAUCACCGAAGUUAAGCAUCAUUGGGCGCGAUCAGUACUUGGGUGGGUGACCACCUGGGAACACUGCGUGCCGUU
This 112-nucleotide ribosomal RNA is filed under the name Caerostris darwini. Lineage: Eukaryota; Metazoa; Arthropoda; Arachnida; Araneae; Araneidae. The record is from RNAcentral.